GGUGCGGGGUGCGGGAGAGGGGCCGGUGCUCCUCCCGAAGGGCGCGGCGGGGACGAGCCGGCACGGGGCAGGUUGCUGAGGUUGGCAGCUGGAGCAGGGGCACUCCUGGAGCAGUGGCUGCAGGGACAGGACUGAGGUGGGGUCACUGGUGCUGUGUCUUCCUUCAGUACACCACGGAGCAUCAUCCAAGGUCAUAUUUAUGCCUGUUUUCUAGAAGCCAAGGAAAGGUCACUUGUCAAGGUCACUCGGUGCCAAACGAGUCUCUCCAGUCCAAAUACAUUUUUAAUUCCGUCAUUCUCUGUAAAGCAAACAAGUGGGAAUUGUUGCUGUAAGAUAGAUAUUGGGGUCAUGCCAGCACUAUAAUUACCCGGUGACAGGGUGUUAGGAUUAGGGAUAUGGGAGAUGGCAGAAAGAGCUGCCAGCCAUGGAGGACGUGAGUGGAGCUGGGCCAGGCACUUCAGCAGUGGAUGAGAGGAAAAGCAGGGAUCAAGGUAAGGCAGGGCAGUGUAUGAGACAAAGCAUGUUUGGUGCGUUCUUAGUUGUUGCACAGUAAAAUCUCAGGGCUGCCUUCAUUUUUUUUUCCUUUUGUUUUUGACUGCACUGUGAUUGGAGGAAAGGAGGUUGAUUCAUAACAGACUAGUUUUUUUCCCCAACGAUCCAGUGAGAAAACAACAGGAAAACUAGGCUGUAGAUCUGUGUUUGAAACAGAGAAAUGAAAUCCAAGACUAAAGACAAGUCUGAUUUUGUGAAGACAAAAACAAACAAUGAUAGGUGGAAUGUUUAGAACUGUUUAUCUGUAGUUUUAAUUCUCCUGACAGGAAAAAAAAAAAAAAAAGCUGGCACAUCCCUUCAUGGCUUUCAUCGGCUUAUGAGAUUGUACUACUCUGAUAAAUAUAAUCAUAAUUUGCUUUUACUAUAUUUUUUAGUAAGUGGAAAUUCAGUGUGGCUGUUGCUUACAGCACACAAUGUGCCAUAACUAAUCAAAGGGAGAAGGAAAGGUAUAAAAGGAAAGUGGAGAAAGUGGGAAUAAAUUUAGGUCCAUUAGGAGUUACAUUUGAAGGAAUGAGUUGCAAAAGUAGAAAUAAUUGAGAGCACUUUGGAAUUGCAAAGUGUAAAAAGUGGGGACAAAGUACUGCAGGUGUUGGAAUGAAAAUAAUGUUUCUGAGAGCAUUUUUUUAUAUUUUUGUGUACAUGUUUAAUGGAGAAAGGAGAUUGAAAGUUAAAUUAGAGAUGAAAAAAUCCAUUACCAUCUAUAGGGCCUAAGAGAAUCAGGUAAAAUAAUAAACUGAGCAGUGGAUACCUUUCUCUGAUGUUCUAAGUAUUUAUAAUAACAUAAUAAUAAUAUAUCUGUGUCAUUUAAACUGUAAGCCACUGGCAUAUCAUGUUUUCCUUAACCCUUCUUCAUCCUCUGGAGAAAUCCCACUCUGACAGGCUCACGCAAUGGUAUGAGAAAACCAGAUGGCAAUGGUAUGUGCCUUUCUAGUCCUCUGGCACUGCCAAAUGGCUCAUGUAACAGCUGAGCUGUACCCACUGCUCAUCGAGGCCAUUAAUCUGACCCUUCCUUCUCUGCAUGGGUGCCAGCUCUCAGCAGAGCUGCGUGGGUGUAGUUAUCCCUCAGGCUUUUCAGCUCCUAUUUCAAAUUGCCUGACGAGUUCAGAGGUUAUCAGGGGCAGAGUCAAAAGCUAAGAUGAAAACACAGAAAGCGGUUACAUUCUGAAAUGAGUGUACUGUUGUUGUAUGGAUGUUACGAUGUGUCUGCUGCUUACCAGGAAGCGUCCAUCCCAGAAGUGUGGAAAGCAACAGGUGGACGCGGAGUUCCCUGUGAAGUGCUCGGCCGCCGUGCUGUGCUCAGAGGAGGAGGAGGGAGAAGUGUCACUCCUGCCUCGCUCCUGCCUCGCUCCUGCCACACAGCUGAAGCGGGCAGGGCGCCUCGCGGCCAUGUUAGGUACGGGCAGCAGGAGCCAACCGUGUCCCUCCGUUUUCUGGGCAGGAAGUCCAUGACAAUGUUAGGAUAGCCAUCAUAGCUGAGGGCAGGAAGAGCCUCCGUGUCCAUCUUGGGUAAGGGAAAGGGAGCUCUUCAGGGGGCUGUCACUGUCACAGCUGUCUCCUAAAGAGCUGCUGUCUGUUUCAGGCGGAUGCAAUGCAGCUGAGAUAGUUCAUGUGCAUACCUGAAAAACAUCUGGAUUUUGGCUUGAGGGUGUCAAAGUCUUAAUGACUUGAUGAAAAAUGAGAUCUUUUGCUGAAGGAAGCCUGUUUUGAAUAGUGAGCUAACUGACUCAGAAAGAAAAACACCGAGCAGCAUUAUAGACAACUCAGUGCCAGAUUUCUGCCUACUGAGCAAUGAUGGUUUAAAAGGCUUCCAAAGUAAUUAAUAUGUAUCAGACUGAGUUUUCAGUGCAGAAGUAUGAACCAGUUGCUUAGCGGGAGAUGCUGAUUCCCGUGAAGUUGUUACAUUUGAAAUGACUGAGGCAUGCUGUAUAGCAAAAGUUCUUUUUCUAGUGUAAAAAUUAAGAUGCAAACUGAUAAAGAAAUCAGAAUAAACAGGUAAGGAGAAACUUGGAGAUGCAGUUUUCUAUUGAGUUCUCAUCCCUGAAACUCAUCCAUCAACAAUUUAUCCAAUCAGUUUUGUACUGAUUUUCAGACAUACAACAAAUUCCAUGUAUAAUAGCCAUACCACAUUUAAAAUAUGACAGUCUAAUAAAGCAUUUUCUACUGUAUAGAGCAGUGUGGAAACAUAAAGCAAAGUUUGAACUGUUACUUAUAUCCUUAUGUAUCUUUUGCAAAACAAACUUGCCUCAGAAGUAACUUCUAAAACAUUCUGAACUUAGCUGUCAAAAAAAGGAACUGUUUCAAAGAAGUUUUCUCCAGUGUUUAAAAAAAUUUUUCUAAUUAUCCCCUCAGAUUUAGUGAAGGGGUUACACAUUUUUAUUUUAGUGCUAUUCUUCUUCUUUAGUUUCAGCCUUAUUUUCUGUUUGUGAUCUUUUAACUCUCUGACUGGUUGUGUAAAAAAAAAAAAAUUGCAUUAUCUUUCAGUAUUAAUUGUGACAGAAUAAGCAACUACCAGUUUAAUCCUCUCUUGUCAGGUAGGUUCUCCAUUUAUUCCAUUUUCUUUCAGAUCCUUUCCUGCUUCUAUUUCUGGUUUGCAUUAAAAAAAGGAUUCCUGUAUCCAGUAUACAAAUGAGUGUCUUACCAACAUAAUAUUUAUAUUAGUGUAAUAUAUGUAGUGAGCAUAUACUGAAUGUCCUAUUCAAUUUAGAUUAUGUAAUAAAUAUGAAUUAUUAUUUUAUACAAUGAUUUAAAAUCUAUUAUUAUGUGCUAUAUAUCCUAUCUGUUUAUAUAUAUAAUGUACAUCACAUAGUAUGUUGAUACUACAUGUGUUUGGUAUAUAUAAAUAAGUAUAAUGUAACAUGCAUACCAUUAAUACAUGUUGUGCUAAUACAUAGCUAAUUUUACAUGCAUUGUUUUUUCAUUUCAAAUUAAAUCAGGCACGUUGAAAUAUUUGGCAUUUUCACUGCUAUAUCAUAUUAGCAGAACAUAGUCAUCAUGUGACCAGCUCUUAUUUGCUUUUCUAUUAAUAUAUCAAUUUAACAGAUAAAUUAAUAUUGACUUUUUGAAAUGUUUGAUGUUUUCUGUGGCUGUUUGAAAAAUGGAAAAGAUGUUUUAAAAAUAAUUAUGACUUUUUGUGCGUGUGUGUAUUUAACUGAAUGUAUUCAUUAGACGAAAUAUAAUUUUCAAAUACAAAUAAAAUACUGCUUUAAAUCUUGAGGCAGGGGAUGGAGGGGAAGAUGAGAUGAGCAGAUGAUGUUUAUGCAGUUCUUUGGUGUUUCCCUGUGGAUGUGGGCAGUCUGCACAGUCACUCCCUGCUGAAGCUGAUGGAACCCGGCCAGCCAGCAGCCAACACAACAUUUGCUGCUACCUGAUAGAAACCAUCGUGCUGAGAGACGCAGGACAGCGCCACGGAGAGCACAGCUGUAGGAGCAAGAUAGAGCAUGGAAGAAAGCAAGGCAGGCUCAAACAUUGGGCAGUUGUGGAUAUUUAGAACCCAGCUGUCCCACCUUGGCCUUUUCUCAUUUUUAUUCCAGCAACUGACAUCAAAGGCAUGCUUUUUCUAGCAGUGUCUCUUGUCCAAACCCUUCCAGAUAUUAACAGAUGGCUGUAUUUCUGCAAAACAAGGCAGAGUUCCUGGAGAUUUGUAAGGACACGUUCCAUAUGCCGAGCCCUAGUGUUUUAUGAAGCUUUAUUGCAAGUUGUAUCAAAAUAGUCUCAGUUAGUUGGUUCCCAACUCUGAAAUCUCUACAUUGAUUCUUCUUGAAGAAGAAACUCAGAUGUUUCUACAUGUUACAAUACAUGCAGAAAUAUUUUUCUUUCUCAACUGAAGGAAAUAAUAAUAUUUUGUCAAAACUAAAAUGUAUUUAAAAUGGGUAAGUGAAAAAUUCUUCUGAAUCACUCUUUAUUGGUAAUAUAUAAUAAUCUCCAGUAGGUAAGAAUCCUUUCUUCUGUACUUUUUUUUAUCAGGGAUCACAUGUCUAUUCUCUUAACUUUCUCCUGACAAAAGACUAUUUUUUAAGCAUCUAGUGGAAUUAAUUUACUGUUUAAUAAAAUGUACACUCUUACUAAGUACUUCAUUAUUAUCAUUUCACAUAGAUACACUUCUUAUUCACAUGGAAAUUUAAAAAGGGGCCAGCAAAUCUAGAAGGACAUACAUGAUGAUAAUAGCUAAAAAUUUUGGUUUGCAAGAAUAUAAACAAGGGAAGGCUUAUAAGAGGCAGUGACAUGAAAUCUUUUCUUAAACCAAGUGAUAAAAACUUUUGGCCAGGCCAUUUCAAUUCUUAAAUGGAAACAGCAAAUGAAAUUUCACUGAGACUCAUUGCGCUGAGUUGAACUUAAUCAAGUUCAGUCUUAGUCAUGUCUUUUUGUCAAGAGUAAUCUUCUACAGAAUUUAGGAGUUAACUACUUGAAAAAUCAGUGAGUCUUGCAUGGUAUCACUGCAAAAUACCUGAAGCAGCUGGAGACAGCGAGAACCUUCCCACAGAGCCCUGCCUGAGGCUGCACACUGCAUAACCCCAUUCCUAUCUCAGUUUGUAUCUAACAUUCACUUCACUACUCAUGGUGUAUCAUAACUGAAGGCUGCUGUAUCUCAAGUUAUUUACCAUGAUAAUUUUGUGUGUUAUAAUUUUGUCUGAGUUAUAUGUUCAUCUUUUGUCUAGAAAAUUACUCCAAUGAUCAAAGCAUACUUUAAUUUCUAGAGUUUGCUUUCAAUAGAUAAACAAAUGUUGUUAAUGGGCCUUAAGGAAACAGUGCAUCUAAGGAGUCAUACAUUUUCUUUUAAGUACGUAUAGAUGUAUUAUCUUGGUUUUAAUAUUUGCAAGGAGAAAAAAUGGCAUGUAGUGAGUGAGGUAGCAGCUCAUCUACACCUACUGCUGCUGACUGUUCUAGUAGCAGUCAACCAAAAGUCUAAUGUGAAUAAUUAAAUUAAAAGAGGUCAGGAGUUCGGGGGAGAUGCAUGCAUGAUAUUUUAUUUUUCUCUUUAUUGUUAAAUAAAUUACCUAUUUAGCCCUUUUAA
Molecule: non-coding RNA, 5563 nt
Organism: Taeniopygia guttata (zebra finch)
Lineage: Eukaryota; Metazoa; Chordata; Aves; Passeriformes; Estrildidae
Source: RefSeq, a predicted model, not a curated record